ACCUGCUCAAUGAUUUUAGUAUUAUUAAAUAGCCGCAGAAUAUCUGUGCUAAGGUAGCAUAAUCAUUAGCUUUUUAAUUAAAAGAUAGAAUGAAAGGUAAAACGAGAUUAACUUUGUCUCAUAAUUAUAUAUUAAAAUUUAUAUAAAAGUAAAAAAGCUUUUAUUAAUUAACAAGACGAUAAGACCCCGAUAAACUAAAUAUUUUAACUAGGGCGGUUAUACAAAAAAACCUUAUUUUUAUAUUAAAACAAACCAAUAAUAAUUAUUAAAUAAAAGUUACUACGGGGAUAACAGCGCUACUCUUUUUAAGAGAACUAAUUUAAAAAAGAAUCUACGACCUCGAUGUUGAAUUAAUUUUCCAAAUUUACGCAAAAGUUAAUAAUGGCAGUCUGUUCGACUAAUAAAAAAUU
Molecule: ribosomal RNA, 410 nt
Filed under: Priscula venezuelana
Lineage: Eukaryota; Metazoa; Arthropoda; Arachnida; Araneae; Pholcidae
Description: partial 16S ribosomal RNA
Source: RNAcentral